Molecule: ribosomal RNA, 990 nt
Filed under: Triticum aestivum (bread wheat)
Lineage: Eukaryota; Viridiplantae; Streptophyta; Magnoliopsida; Poales; Poaceae
Description: partial small subunit ribosomal RNA
Source: RNAcentral
AUGACAUUCACACCUUUUGUUGAUCCUGAUGAGCGCGCCGAGAAAAUUGCCGAGCUACACAUGGCAUGUUCUACCAGUUGUUCAAGGUCAAAGGGUGUGAGGAUCCCGGUAGGAUUCCGCAACCUUAAAGUGUUACAUGUGCUAGAAGUUGUGGAUGUCAAACGAACCAGCAGCAAGGCUACCAGGGAGCUAGGAGAGCUAACAAGGCUUGGUAAACUACGAGUGGUAACAAGUGGUGCCACUGAGAAAAAGUGCAAGAUACUCUGUGAGGCUAUUGAGAAGCUAUCUUCCCUGCGCUCUCUUUAUGUGGAAGCUGAUAAGCUUGAUUGGCUGCAUUCUGUUUCCUCUCCUCCCCCACUCAUGAGGAGCCUCAAAGUGGCUGGACAUCUUGGAGAGAUGCCAGAUUGGUUGGGAAGUUUGAUGCAUUUAGUGAAGAUUUACCUAGUGGGGAGCAAUCUGAAGGGAGUUAAAGCCAUGGAAUUACUAGGGACACUGCCCAACCUCAUGCUCCUUGGUCUUCGUCAGAAUGCUUAUGCUGGAGAGAAGCUUGUCUUCAGAGAGGGAGCAUUCCAGAAUCUCAGAAAACUUGAUUGUUCUCACAAUAGGGAAUUGAAGGAGGUGAGAUUUGAGGAGGGCACUUCGCCCCAAAUGGAAAAGAUGCAAUUCGGCCCUUGCAGGGUGGAAUCAGGGAUCCUUGGUGUGAAGCACCUUCCAAAACUCAAGGGAGGUGUGCUUGGUGUGCUGCAAGGUGAGAUGGACGCACACCCAAACCGUCCGGUGUUGCGACUAUCUGACCACCGGAGCUACCAUGAGCAGGGGGAUGUCGUUGACGUUGAAGAAUCCAAUACUGUACGAGAGAGCUCUGGGCAUGUGGUGGUCGUACCGAGGGGGAGCGACAGCAGCCAAGACGGUGACAAUGGGGACAUCGAAGGCUCCGCUGUGCUGGAAGACCAUUUCUGGUCCUGCCAUUUCAAUGGCAACGAUGCUUGA